Molecule: ribosomal RNA, 559 nt
Filed under: Corythalia cf. albicincta JXZ-2013
Lineage: Eukaryota; Metazoa; Arthropoda; Arachnida; Araneae; Salticidae
Description: partial 16S ribosomal RNA
Rfam family: Archaeal large subunit ribosomal RNA (bases 172-467)
Source: RNAcentral
UUAAUAGUAAUAUCUGCUCAAUGAAAAACUUUCAAUAGCCGCUAUUAGUGCUAAGGUAGCAUAAUCAUUUGUCUUUUAAAUGAAGACUAGAACAAAAGAUUUAACAUUUAAAUUAUUAUAUCAAACUUAAUAAUCAAAAUUAUCUUAAGCGCAAAAAGACGCUUAUUUAAAAGAAAGACGACAAGACCCUAUUGAACUUUACUUCAGUUAAACUGGGGCAGUUAAUCAAUUAUUAUUUUAAUUUAAAAAUAAAAAUAAAAAUCUAAUAUAAUUAAAUCAUUCAGUUACCAUAGGGAUAACAGCGCAAUAAUAUUUCUAAAGACCUUAUAUAAAAAAUAGAUUACGACCUCGAUGUUGAAUUAAUUACCUAAUUAAAGCAAAUUUUAAAAAAGGAAGUCUGUUCGACUUUUAAAAAAUUACAUGAUUUGAGUUCAGACCGGUACAAGCCAGGUCGGCUUCUAUCUACUAUAAAAAUUUAUACAGUACGAAAGGACCUAUAAAUAUAAUAUGAUUAUUAUAUUGGCAGAAAAAUGCAUUAGAAUUAGAAUCUAAUUAAACU